Molecule: ribosomal RNA, 301 nt
Filed under: uncultured bacterium
Lineage: Bacteria
Description: partial 16S ribosomal RNA
Rfam family: Bacterial small subunit ribosomal RNA
Source: RNAcentral
CAGCCGCCGCGGGAAUACGAAGGGGGCUAGCGUUGUUCGGAAUUACUGGGCGUAAAGCGCACGUAGGCGGACAUUUAAGUCAGGGGUGAAAUCCCGGGGCUCAACCCCGGAACUGCCUUUGAUACUGGGUGUCUAGAGUAUGGAAGAGGUGAGUGGAAUUCCGAGUGUAGAGGUGAAAUUCGUAGAUAUUCGGAGGAACACCAGUGGGGAAGGCGGCUCACUGGUCCAUUACUGACGCUGAGGUGCGAAAGCGUGGGGAGCAAACAGGAUUAGAUACCCGCGUAGUCCCUGUCUCUUAUAC